This 1174-nucleotide long non-coding RNA is filed under the name Sinocyclocheilus grahami. RNAcentral's name for it is "lncRNA (ENSSGRG00000030673.1)". Lineage: Eukaryota; Metazoa; Chordata; Actinopteri; Cypriniformes; Cyprinidae. The record is from RNAcentral.
UGCCAGUAAAAUUUGUUUCAUUUGUACAAUAUGAUGAGUCUACUCAAAAUGAACAGGUAAAAUUGAUUGCCACAACGGAUAAAAUAAAAUAGGCCCAAGUAAAAUUCAUACACGAAAUAUAAAAUGUGGUGGUUUCUUGUUAUGCUUUGUAAGCUGACACUAAUUUACAGUUUAGGUAGGCUGUAAGUAGGCUAUUUCUAAACUAUUUGAUUUUUUAGGCUAUUUCUAAACUAUUUGAUUUUUUUUUUUCAGACAAAUAGGGAGUGUGUCAAGAAUGUUAAGAUUAAAUAUAGGAUCAAAUAUUAUGACACUUUUAAACAAACCGAAUAGAUAUAGUUUUUGGUCUGCUUUUUUGUAAUAUCAUUUUCUUACCCCAACAAAUCAUCAAUAUGUUACUUACGUACAUUCAGCCUCAAAAUAACAGACAGUUCUAGUCUAAAUAUAUAUAUGAUGGUGCAAGAACGGAAUGCGAUAUAUGGUCGAAUUACAUUGCAGCAAUCGAAAAGAUGACUGACCGGCACUCGUUCAGUACCGCAUACCGCCAUCGCAUCCGACCGUGACCGCAUUUUUCUCGGCUUGCAUAACAUAUCGCGUGACUUACUAGGUUAGUAACGUGAGGGAACGGACAGCAGAGAAGGCGGUGUUGAUGAUGGUAGGAGGAGAUUGUGCGUCGUCUUCCGCGUUUCCCCGGAUUUCAACCACUGUCCUGAUUCCAUCGUGUCCUCUCCUUGCACGUUUUUACGCUCGGCCCACCCUCCCAAUUGAGUUAGUUGUAAAGAAAAAAAUUCAAUCAAUUACAGGCCUCGCCGUCCCCCCCCUCCGCCUUCACCUCUCCUCUUUCUCUCCCCCCCGUGCAAAUAACUACCACCGCCUUCGUUCUCCACAUGAAGCAUCGGAGUACUGGGCCCCGGCGUACCGGCUCCAGCCAUGUCGGCGAGGAAUACAGCGGCUGGCGGCGAUGACGGAGCGACGGGGGAAAAGCCAGGAGACACAUUAGAGGAAGAACCCCAGGGCCUCUCUGUCUCUCUGUCUGGUUUGAUGACCCCCACCUCAGCCACCGGCAUGGCCUCAGGCAUGGAGCUGCCCAGGAAACGGAAAGGCAGCAUGGACAACCCGUGAGUAUAUUUACAUAUAUUUACAAUCUUUUUUCGUUUUAUUUUACAUUAAUUACUAA